UGGACUAAAGCAAUCGCAUUUAAGGAGUUCGAUGAUCACAAAUAGAAGAUGGGUAUUUAAUACCAAUCUGAUUGACUUUAGUCUAAGUGAGAGUUGUUGAGAAAUAUAUCCUAAAGUCAAUCAUCUAGGUUGUAGAUGAUUGUGCUCUAUACAUAUAUAUGAAUUAUAAAAUGAUAAAUAUUAUGUGGUAGAUUCAUCAUAAGGAAUACAUCUUCCUAAAU
RNAcentral lists this long non-coding RNA (221 nucleotides) under Elaeis guineensis (African oil palm). Its description in RNAcentral is "long non-coding RNA (EGUI_LNC002292)". Lineage: Eukaryota; Viridiplantae; Streptophyta; Magnoliopsida; Arecales; Arecaceae. The record is from RNAcentral.